This 1137-nucleotide long non-coding RNA is filed under the name Ricinus communis (castor bean). Its description in RNAcentral is "long non-coding RNA (RCOM_LNC000077)". The record is from RNAcentral. Lineage: Eukaryota; Viridiplantae; Streptophyta; Magnoliopsida; Malpighiales; Euphorbiaceae.
GAAAAUGAAAGCCCAACUUUUAUUAUUUCAACCAAAAAAGAAAAGUGUUUAUAUAUAUAGAUAUAUAUAUCAGAAUUGCAACUGACAUAUUAUUAUAGCAAUAUUCAGAGGCUAGCAUUAUUCCUUGUGUCUUAUCUAUUGAAAUAAUAACAUAAGGUCAUAGAAAGGAAAAGGCAAUAGAGGCAAAGAUUCAAUCCAGAUACAAGCGGUCCAUGAGAAGCAAGUUGAUUCAUUCUAUUUAAAAAUUCUGCAGCAGCAACUGCAAUAAAACUGAAUCUUCGUUCUCCUAAAAUUAGUAAAGUUUUAUCCGUCUGCAGGCGCCUCUCUAAACCUUCAUCACCCAUGUGAAACCAGUCAAUGAGCCGUGACAGAGAGGAAGCAAUGGCCCUACAGCCCAUAAAGGUGGGAUGAUCUGAGAUCCCAAACCAGUUGUUUAUUGUUUCGAUGCGGACUGAAUGUCACAGCCAUCCAAAAGGGCCAUGAAUCUGUGUCAUCCAAUUCCACCAUUAUCCCAUUACUAUUGCCUUCCCCUAAACUCUCAGAAACACCCAACUGCUUUCAGAUUUCAGAUUCACUUGAAACUGAGUUCUGCUCUCUGAUCUCUCCCAUUGAAGUGGGUUACCUUUAACUUUCUGCAGAUUCUUUAUUGUUCUUUUGUAGAGCUUCCCGGCAUCAGCUGGGAAUGAUGGUCCAACCCUAUCCCCACUUGUUAAUGUCUGAUGUGGACUGGACCCACUUGUGGUCGACAGUUACGAGUCCUCAUUUACCGUUGAUUCAGUUUUUAACGGCUCCAUCAUAAAUAGCAUCGUAAAACUCGAAAAGGGCUUACGCUUAGGCCUUCAAUUUCCAUCAGCUGAAAACCAAUAUGCGUAUGCAUUGAUGUCACAAAUCUUCAGAGUCUGUAGUCAUGGCUGGGCAAGUGUAGUUUCCACUUGACUGUUAGUGUAACUGCCACCCUCCAAGUUGCAAGAAGUAAAAUGAUAAAGACAAUCACUUUAAAUACAUAAAGACAAUCAAAUAACUACUAAUUUAUUUGCCCUAGAAUAAUGUAAAAUUUGUUAUAAUUUCUAUCAUUUUGAUGCGAUAUCAAAAUCUUUCUAUUUUCGUGUAAAAGUAUUUUCUCAAAUAAAUCCCAUG